RNAcentral lists this unclassified non-coding RNA (181 nucleotides) under Glomus indicum. Its description in RNAcentral is "partial internal transcribed spacer region". The stretch from base 1 to 46 matches the Rfam family "Eukaryotic small subunit ribosomal RNA", at positions 1786 to 1831 of the family's 1831-position model. Lineage: Eukaryota; Fungi; Glomeromycota; Glomeromycetes; Glomerales; Glomeraceae. The record is from RNAcentral. RNAcentral also lists the same sequence under 1 other name.
AAGUCGUAACAAGGUUUCCGUAGGUGAACCUGCGGAAGGAUCAUUACCAAUAUAGCGAACCGAGCGUUAGCGAGGCUUCGCGAUCAAAUUUGUAUUUAAAACCCAACUCUUUAAAUGUAUAAUUAUUAUUGUAUUUUAAAUAAUAAAAAGAUCACUUUCAACAACGGAUCUCUUGGCUCUC